AACGAACGCUGGCGGCAUGCCUAACACAUGCAAGUAGAACGAACCCUUCGGGCCUUGUGUUGCUAGGCUGCGUACCGUGAGGUAACCUGGCCUUAGGUACGGGUAAAUUACCUGCCUGGGGUGCUAAUAUCGGUUAUUGUCUUGGGAGCAAAGAUUUAUUAGUAUUGGUUGGUCCAUCGUAGGUUUCGCAAGUUGGCAGUGUAACAGCCUACCAAGGCGCCGAUCCAUAGCUGGUCUGGGAGGAUGAUCAGCCACACUGGGACUGAGACACGGCACGGACUCCUGGGAGAGGCAGCAAGGGUGAAUAUUGGACAAUGGGCGAAAGCCUGAUCCAGCAAUGCCGCGUAAGUGAGUAAGGCCUGAGGGUUGGAAAGCACUGUUACCCGGUAUGAUAAUGACAGUACCGUAAGAAUAAGCGCCGGCUAACUCCGUG
RNAcentral lists this ribosomal RNA (433 nucleotides) under uncultured bacterium. Its description in RNAcentral is "partial 16S ribosomal RNA". It matches the Rfam family "Bacterial small subunit ribosomal RNA", at positions 29 to 507 of the family's 1533-position model. The record is from RNAcentral.